GUUCAAAUGAGGAAGGGAUUACGGUGGAUACCUAGGCACCCAUAGACGAGGAAGGGCAUGGUAAGCGAAAAAAUGAUUCAGGGAGUUGAAAAUGAGAAUAGAUCUAGAGAUUCCCAAAUAGGUUAACCUUUUUAACUGCUGUUGAAUCCAUGGGCAGGCAAGAGACAACCUGGCGCACUGAAAAAUCUUAGUAGCUAGAGGAAUAGAAAUAAAAAGCGAUUCCUGUAGUAGCGGUGAGUGAAAUGGGAGUAGCCUAAACCGUGAAAAUGGGGUUGUGGGAGAGCACAAUAUAAUCUCUGUGCUACUAGGUGAAGCGGUUGGGUCCUGCACCUUCGAUGGUGAGAGUCCAGUAGCCAAAAGCAUCAUUGGGUUACGCUUUAACCCGAGUAGCAUGGGGCACGUGGAAUCCCAUGUGAAUCAGUAAGGACCACCUUGCAAGGCUAAAUACUCCUGAGUGACCGAUAGUGAAGUAGUACCAUGAGGGAAAGGUGAAAAGAACCCCCAUCGGGGAGUGAAAUAGAACAUGAAACCAUAAGCUCCCAAGAAGUGGGAGGAAAAUGAUAUCUCUGACUGCGUGCCUAUUGAAGAAUGAGUCGGCGACUUAUAAGCAAUGGCUUGGUUAAGGGAACCCACUGGAGCCGUAGCGAGAGCGAGUCUUCAUGGGGCAAUUGUCACUACUUAUGGACCCGAACCUGGGUGAUCUAUCCAUGACCAGGAUGAAGCUUGGGUGAAACUAAGUGGAGGUCUGAACCAAUUGAUGUUGAAAAAUUAGCGGAUGAGUCAUGGUUAGGGGUGAAAUGCCACUCGAACAUAGACCUAGCUGGUUCUCCCCGAAAUGCAUUGAGGUGCAACAAUUGACUGGACCAUCUAGGGGUAAAGCACUAUUUCGGUACGGGCCGCGAGAGCGGUACCAAAUCGAGGCAAACUCUGAAUACUAGAUUUCCCCAAUAAAAGGGGUAAAGGUCAGCCAGUGAGACGAUGGGGGAUAAGCUUCAUCGUCGAGAAGGAAACAGGCCAGAUCAUCAGCUAAGGCCCCUAAAUGAUCGCUCAGUGAUGAAGGAAGUACGAGUGCAAAGACAGCCAAGAGGUUUUCCUAGAAGCAUCCAACCUUGAAAGAGUGCAUAAUAGUUCACUUAUUGAGCACUCUUGUGUUGAAGAUGAACGGGACUAAGCGAUCUGCCAAAGCUAUGGGAUGUAAAAAUACAUCAUUAGGGGAGCAUUCCACCUCAUAGGGAAGCACCAACGCGAGCAGGUGUGGAUGAAGCGAAAGCGAGAAUGUCGGCUUGCGUAACGCAAACAUUGGUGAGAAUCCAAUGCCUCGAAAACCUAGGGGUUCCUCCGCAAGGUUCUUCCAUAGAGGGUGAGUCAGAGGCUAAGAUCAGGCUGAAAGGCGUAGUCGAUGGACAACAGGUUAAUAUUCCUGUACUACCCCUUGUUGGUCCCGAGGGAUGGAGGAGGCUAGGUUAGUCAAAAUAUGGUUAUCGGUUCAAGGAUGCAAGGUGACCAUGCUUUUUUCAGGGUAAGAAGGGGUAGAGAAAAUGCCUCGAGCCAAUGUCUGAGUACCAAGUGCUACAACGUUGAAGUACCCAUGCCAUACUCCUAGGAAAAUCUCAAACGACCUUUAACAAAUGGGUACCUCUACCCGAAACCAACACAGGUAGGUAGGUAGAGAAUACCUAGGGGCACGAGACAACUCUCUCUAAGGAACUCAACAAAAUAUCCUCGUAACUUCGGGAGAAGGGGUGCCUCCUCAGGAGGUCGUAGUGACCAAGCUCAGGUGACUGUUUACCAAAAACAUAGGUCUCCGUAAAGUCGUAAGACCAUGUAUGGGGGCUGACGCAUGCCCAGUGUCGGAAGGUUGAGGAAGUUGGUGACUUGAUGACAGGGAAGCCAGGGACCGAAGCCCCAGUGAACGGCGACCAUAACUAUAACUGUCCUAAGGUAGCAAAAUUCCUUGUUGGGUAAGUUCCAACUCGCACGAAAGGUGUAACGAUCUGGGCACUAUCUCGGAGAGAGACUCGGUGAAAUAGACAUGUCUGCAAAGAUGCGGACUACCUGCACCUGGACAGAAAGACCCUAUGAAGCUUUACUGUUCCCUGGGAUUGUCUUUGGGUUCUUCUUGCGCAACUUAGGUGAAAGGUGAAGAAGGCUCCCUCUCGGGGGGGCUUGAGCCACUAGUGAGAUACCACUCUAGAAGAGCUAGAAUUAUAACCUUGUGUCAGGACCUACGGGCCAAGGGACAGUCUCAGGUAGACCGUUUCUAUGGGGCGUAGGCCUCCCAAAAGGUAACGGAGGUAUGGAAAGGUUUCCUCUGGCUGGAUGUAAAUCGACCCUCGAGUGCAAAGGUAGAAGGGAGCUUGACUGCAAGACCCACCCGUCGAGCAGGUACGAAAGUCGACCUUAGUGAUCUGACGGUGCCGAGUGGAAGGGUUGUCGCUCAACGGAUAAAAGUUACUCUAGGGAUAACAAGUUGAUCUUCCCCAAGAGUUCACAUCGACGGGAAGGUUUGGCACCUCGAUGUCAUCUCUUUUCCACCUGGGGCGGUAGUACGUUCCAAGGGUUGGGUUGUUCGCCCAUUAAAGAGGUACAUGAGCUGGGUUCAGAAUUUCGUGAGAUAGUUCGGUCCAUAUAUGGUGUGGGCGUUAGAGAAUUGAGAGGACCUUUCCCUAGAACAAGAGGACCGGGAAGGAUGCACCUAUAGUGUACCAGUUAUCAUGCCCAUGGUAGAUGUUGGGUAGAUAAGUGCAGAGCGGAUAACUACUGAAAGAAUAUAAGUAGGAAGCCCACCCCAAGAUGAGUUCUCUCCUAUUCUUACUUCCCUAAGAGCCCUAGUCACAAGAAUGGCUGGGACAACAAUGGGUUCUCUGUCCUUUAAGGGGAUGGAGCGACAAAAGUAUUGAGAAUCCAAGAUAAGGUCACGGCAAGAUGAGCCAUUUAUCAUUACGAUAGGUGUCAAGUGGAAGUGCAAUGAUGUAUGUAGCUGAGGCAUCCUAACAGACCGAGAGAUUUGAACCU
Picea glauca (white spruce) is the source of this 3015-nucleotide non-coding RNA. Lineage: Eukaryota; Viridiplantae; Streptophyta; Pinopsida; Pinales; Pinaceae. The record is from Rfam.